This 401-nucleotide unclassified non-coding RNA is filed under the name Hevea brasiliensis (rubber tree). Lineage: Eukaryota; Viridiplantae; Streptophyta; Magnoliopsida; Malpighiales; Euphorbiaceae. The record is from RNAcentral.
AAGAAACCUAAAAAUUUUUCUCAUAAAAUUUUCUUGAAGAUUGGACCACCUUCAAAAGGAAUUCUUUGAAUUCAUAUGUAGUAUCAAACUAAUCAUCCUCAUUAUUGAUUACCUUCCUGCAUAACUUCAACUCACCCUCAUGCCCUCCAUCAAAAUUUCAUUGCCCAAAUACCACUUCGCUUGUUAUGCGCCUAAGCACUACCUUGCUCUCCCCUAAAUGUUCUCCUUUUGGCCAUCCCGCCAUUUCAUACAAGACAAAUCCUACUUAUACAAAAAAACCCUCACCACUUUAGCAACUUGAUUACAGAAAUAAGAAUAAAUAGAUAAAAAGUAUACUUCAUAUUUAAUUGAACUUGAUGUUGUAAAGUUGUAAUAGCAUGUUAUGAAAAGUCAAUCACUAU